Molecule: long non-coding RNA, 1140 nt
Organism: Triticum aestivum (bread wheat)
Lineage: Eukaryota; Viridiplantae; Streptophyta; Magnoliopsida; Poales; Poaceae
Exons: 2
Source: RefSeq, a predicted model, not a curated record
ACACAUCUAAUCAUUUCCCUUUUUUUUCCUUGCCCUUUUCACCGUCAUAUACACUUCAUCUCCCACUGUAACGGAUAACCAAAUUUGUAUUCUUGAAAGUUUUAAUCAUCUCUAUUGCAGGCUUGCAGCUAAGUGUUCAAGUACAAUCUCUAGCCAAGUUCCCUUUGUUGUUGUGUUGUAUUUUGAGGAAAGGUGGUCGAGCAGCUCGUGACAUAUGUAUCGCGCCUGCUCUGCAGCUGCCUUGACCCGCCGCCGACGUCGCCGGUUGAGACGCAAGGGUGCAAGAUCAUCGUGGGGCCCAUUGCAUGGGCGCAAAGUAUGCUUGAUUGCCAUGUCGUAGGCGAAGUGUGACAAGUCGUGUGAGAUGAACAUGGUGAACCAUCUCAAUGUGAAGCCAAGUAUGUGGUGGAUUUUCCAUGGAUGAUGAAAGACUGGUAAGGGUAAAAGUUUGAGCUGCCAAAUUUUGUGUGACCGAGGUCCUGGACGGUCAAACCUAAAAAGUUCAGUGAAGAUUCAGGUUACACAUGGAUUCCUUUUUGUUGCCUACAAUGCUGUAAUCACGCUAACUAUGAGCAUGGUGUGUACCAGAGAUGAUUCAAAAAUUGCUUGCAGAUAGGCAGUUGGAUGUCAAGGAGGCCGAAGCCUGUUGUGCCAAAACUAACACAUUAGAAUCUUACAAUUUGCUGCUACCAUAUUUCAAUGUAAGAACACGAUGAUGCAAAGGAAUCUUAUUAUGUAGCCAUAUGUAAUCUCAAUUUGUUGCUAUGUAUAAACUAUGAUAGGAGUAGGAUCAUAUAGAUGUGUAUCCAUUUUUGCCUUCUACUGAUCUAUGACAAAGGGGAUGUGCUGGACUAAGUGGCCGUUGCUAUUGAAGCAAAGGAGCGGAAACUCGAAAUUUUCAACCAAUGGAGGUUAUCUUUCAUAUGGAUUUUAUUAUAGAUACUUGUAGAUGUGUGUCAGUUCCUUAGAUCAUGUUUGAUUCUUAAAAUUUUAGAUGUUUCAUGUAACCAUCAAUUAUGCUACUAGCAGUCCCUGUACAUUCUUUUUUACCUGUUCUAAAAAAUUAUCUCGGUUUAUGAGCACCACACAUUUUAAUGUAUAAGUAAGAUUAUGAGUUGAUCCAGUGCCGAAAACAAUUCA